CUGGAGGAACGUCCGGACUGCGCAGGGCAGCGUAGGAGGUAACACCUCUCCACCGCGAGGUGAGGAUCAGAGCAACAGAGACGAGUCGCGGCGGGCAACCGCCGCGGGUGAAACGGGCAAUCUCUACGCGCAGCAAUACCAAGUAGGCACACGUUGAUCCGGUCCCGGAGAGUGUGCGGGUAGGUAGCACCGAGCCGCCUGGCGACAGGCGGCCCAGAGUAAUGGCGGUCACGUUGGGGGCGACUCCAACGCCACAGAAUCCGGCUUACCGGCGGACUUCACAC
This 284-nucleotide RNase P RNA is filed under the name Pseudomonadota bacterium. Its description in RNAcentral is "partial RNase P RNA component class A". It matches the Rfam family "Bacterial RNase P class A", at positions 40 to 367 of the family's 367-position model. From Rfam's summary of the family: Ribonuclease P (RNase P) is a ubiquitous endoribonuclease, found in archaea, bacteria and eukarya as well as chloroplasts and mitochondria. Its best characterised activity is the generation of mature 5'-ends of tRNAs by cleaving the 5'-leader elements of precursor-tRNAs. Cellular RNase Ps are ribonucleoproteins. Lineage: Bacteria; Pseudomonadati; Pseudomonadota. The record is from RNAcentral.